RNAcentral lists this ribosomal RNA (497 nucleotides) under uncultured bacterium. RNAcentral describes it as "partial 16S ribosomal RNA". It matches the Rfam family "Bacterial small subunit ribosomal RNA", at positions 28 to 507 of the family's 1533-position model. The record is from RNAcentral.
GAUGAACGCUGGCGGCGUGCCUAAUACAUGCAAGUCGAGCGAACAGAUGAGCUGCUUGCUGCUCGGAAGUUAGCGACGGGCGAGUAAGUCACACGUAGAUAACCUGCCUAUAAGACUAGGAUAACUUCGGGAAACCUGAGAUAACACAGGAUAAGAUAUUGAACCGCAUGGUUCUAUAGAGAAAGACGGUUUUGAUCUCACUUAUAGAUGGAUGCGCGCCGGAUUAGCUAGUUGGUAAGGUAACGGCUUACCAAGGCAACGAUGCGUAGCCGACCUGAGAGGGUGAUCGGCCACACUGGAACUGAGACACGGUCCAGACUCCUACGGGAGGCAGCAGUAGGGAAUCUUGCGCAAUGGGCGAAAGCCUGACGGAGCAAUGCCGCGUGAGUGAUGAAGGUCUUCGGAUCGUAAAACUCUGUUAUUAGGGAAGAACAAAUGUGUGAGUAACUAUGCACUUGUUGACGGUACCUGAACAGAAAGCCACGGCUAACUACGUG